GGGGGGGGGGGGGGGGGGGCGGGGGGCGGGGGGGGCGGGGGGGGGGGGCGGGCUUUGGUGGGGUGCUCGAGUGGCGAACGGGUGAGUAACACGUGAGUAACCUGCCCUUGACUUUGGGAUAACUUCAGGAAACUGGGGCUAAUACCGGAUAGGAGCUCCUGCUGCAUGGUGGGGGUUGGAAAGUUUCGGCGGUUGGGGAUGGACUCGCGGCUUAUCAGCUUGUUGGUGGGGUAGUGGCUUACCAAGGCUUUGACGGGUAGCCGGCCUGAGAGGGUGACCGGCCACAUUGGGACUGAGAGACGGCCCAGACUCCUACGGGAGGCAGCAGUGGGGAAUAUUGCACGAUGGGCGGAAGCCUGAUGCAGCAACGCCGCGUGCGGGAUGACGGCCUUCGGGUUGUAAACCGCUUUCGCCUGUGACGAAGCGUGAGUGACGGUAAUGGGUAAAGAAGCACCGGCUAACUACGUG
RNAcentral lists this ribosomal RNA (468 nucleotides) under uncultured bacterium. RNAcentral's name for it is "partial 16S ribosomal RNA". It matches the Rfam family "Bacterial small subunit ribosomal RNA", at positions 27 to 507 of the family's 1533-position model. The record is from RNAcentral.